This 403-nucleotide ribosomal RNA is filed under the name Verrucomicrobiota bacterium. Its description in RNAcentral is "Verrucomicrobia bacterium partial 16S ribosomal RNA". It matches the Rfam family "Bacterial small subunit ribosomal RNA", at positions 355 to 776 of the family's 1533-position model. The record is from RNAcentral. Lineage: Bacteria; Pseudomonadati; Verrucomicrobiota.
UGGGGAAUAUUGCACAAUGGGCGCAAGCCUGAUGCAGCAACGCCGCGUGAACGAUGAAGGUCUUCGGAUCGUAAAGUUCUGUUGCAGGGGAAGAUAAUGACGGUACCCUGUGAGGAAGCCCCGGCUAACUACGUGCCAGCAGCCGCGGUAAUACGUAGGGGGCUAGCGUUAUCCGGAUUUACUGGGCGUAAAGGGUGCGUAGGUGGUCUUUCAAGUCGGUGGUUAAAGGCUACGGCUCAACCGUAGUUAGCCUCCGAAACUGGAAGACUUGGGUGCAGGAGAGGAAAGUGGAAUUCCCAGUGUAGCGGUGAAAUGCGUAGAUAUUGGGAGGAACACCAGUAGCGAAGGCGGCUUUCUGGACUGCAACUGACACUGAGGCACGAAAGCGUGGGUAGCAAACAGG